CAGCCGCCGCGGUAAUACGGAGGGUGCAAGCGUUAAUCGGAAUUACUGGGCGUAAAGCGUGCGUAGGCGGUUCGUUAAGUCUGUUGUGAAAGCCCCGGGCUCAACCUGGGAAUGGCAAUGGAUACUGGCGAGCUAGAGUGUGUCAGAGGAUGGUGGAAUUUCCGGUGUAGCGGUGAAAUGCGUAGAUAUCGGAAGGAACACCUGUGGCGAAAGCGGCUCACUGGACAAUAACUGACGCUGAUGCACGAAAGCUAGGGGAGCAAACAGGAUUAGAUACCCCCGUAGUCCCUGUCUCUUAUAC
Molecule: ribosomal RNA, 301 nt
Filed under: uncultured bacterium
Lineage: Bacteria
Description: partial 16S ribosomal RNA
Rfam family: Bacterial small subunit ribosomal RNA
Source: RNAcentral